CAGCAGCCGCGGUAAUACGUAGGUGGCGAGCGUUGUCCGGAAUUACUGGGUGUAAAGGGCGUGUAGGCGGGACGGCAAGUCAGAUGUGAAAUACCUCGGCCUAACUGGGGUGCUGCAUCUGAAACUGUCGUUCUUGAGUGUCGGAGAGGAAAGUGGAAUUCCCAGUGUAGCGGUGAAAUGCGUAGAGAUUGGGAGGAACACCAGUGGCGAAGGCGGCUUUCUGGACGAUAACUGACGCUGAGGCGCGAAAGCGUGGGUAGCAAACAGGAUUAGAUACCCUGGUAGUCCACGCUGUAAACGAUGGAUACUAGGUGUAGGAGGUAUCGACCCCUUCUGUGCCGGAGUUAACACAAUAAGUAUCCCACCUGGGGAGUACGGCCGCAAGGUUGAAACUCAAAGGAAUUGACGGGGGCCCGCACAAGCAGUGGAGUAUGUGGUUUAAUUCGAAGCAACGCGAAGAACCUUACCAGGGCUUGACAUCCCUCUGACAGGCUUAGAGAUAAGCUUUCUCUUCGGAGCAGAGGAGACAGGAGGUGCAUGGCC
RNAcentral lists this ribosomal RNA (543 nucleotides) under uncultured archaeon. Its description in RNAcentral is "bacterial SSU rRNA". It matches the Rfam family "Bacterial small subunit ribosomal RNA", at positions 509 to 1050 of the family's 1533-position model. The record is from RNAcentral.